CGCGUAGGCGGACUUUCAAGUCAGGGGUGAAAUCCCGAGGCUCAACCUCGGAACUGCCUUUGAUACUGUAAGUCUUGAGUCCGAGAGAGGUGAGUGGAAUUCCUAGUGUAGAGGUGAAAUUCGUAGAUAUUAGGAAGAACACCAGUGGCGAAGGCGGCUCACUGGCUCGGUACUGACGCUGAGGUGCGAAAGCGUGGGGAGCAAACA
Molecule: ribosomal RNA, 207 nt
Filed under: uncultured bacterium
Lineage: Bacteria
Description: partial 16S ribosomal RNA
Rfam family: Bacterial small subunit ribosomal RNA
Source: RNAcentral